UACAGGGCGCAGCAGUGGGGAAUUUUGGACAAUGGGGAAACCUGAUCCAGCCAUCCCGCGUGUGCGAUGAAGGCCUUCGGAGUUGUAAGCACUUUUUGGCAGGAAAACGGCGCAGGAUAGUACGUGCAACUGACGACACCUGCAGAAUAAGCACCGGCUAACUACGUGCCAACAGCCGCGGUAAUACGUAGGGUGCAAGCGUUAAUCGGAAUUACUGGGCGUAAAGCGUGCGCAGGCGGUUCGGAAGAAAGAUGUGAAAUCCCAGAGCUUAACUUUGAAGACUGCAUUUUUAACUACCGAGCUAGAGUGUGUCAGAGAGUGGAAUACGCGUGUAGCAGUGAAAUGCGUAGAUAUGCCGGAGGAACACCGAUGGCGAAGGCAGCCUCCUGGGAUAACACUGACGCUCAUGCACGAAAAGCGUGGGAGCAAGCAGGAUUAGAUACCCGGGUGG
This 451-nucleotide unclassified non-coding RNA is filed under the name uncultured Bordetella sp. RNAcentral's name for it is "partial 16S-23S ribosomal RNA intergenic spacer". It matches the Rfam family "Bacterial small subunit ribosomal RNA", at positions 340 to 793 of the family's 1533-position model. The record is from RNAcentral. Lineage: Bacteria; Pseudomonadati; Pseudomonadota; Betaproteobacteria; Burkholderiales; Alcaligenaceae.